UCUGGUGUCGAUGCGCUUAGGGGACACACCCGUUCCCAUCCCGAACACGACGGUUAAGACUUAAGCGGCCGAUGGUACUAUGCUGGAGACGGCAUGGGAGAGUAGGUGGAUGCCAGAU
Molecule: ribosomal RNA, 118 nt
Filed under: Eubacteriaceae bacterium Marseille-Q4139
Lineage: Bacteria; Bacillati; Bacillota; Clostridia; Eubacteriales; Eubacteriaceae
Source: RNAcentral